GGGGUUGUAACUCAGUGGUAGAGUGCUCGCUUCGCAUGCGAGAAGCCGCGGGUUCAAUUCCCGCCAACUCCA
This is a transfer RNA of Neocallimastix californiae, 72 nucleotides long. It matches the Rfam family "tRNA". Rfam says of the family: Transfer RNA (tRNA) molecules are approximately 80 nucleotides in length. Their secondary structure includes four short double-helical elements and three loops (D, anti-codon, and T loops). Further hydrogen bonds mediate the characteristic L-shaped molecular structure. tRNAs have two regions of fundamental functional importance: the anti-codon, which is responsible for specific mRNA codon recognition, and the 3' end, to which the tRNAs corresponding amino acid is attached (by aminoacyl-tRNA synthetases). tRNAs cope with the degeneracy of the genetic code in two manners: having more than one tRNA (with a specific anti-codon) for a particular amino acid; and 'wobble' base-pairing, i.e. permitting non-standard base-pairing at the 3rd anti-codon position. Lineage: Eukaryota; Fungi; Neocallimastigomycota; Neocallimastigomycetes; Neocallimastigales; Neocallimastigaceae. The record is from Rfam.